Molecule: long non-coding RNA, 1719 nt
Organism: Cyclopterus lumpus (lumpfish)
Lineage: Eukaryota; Metazoa; Chordata; Actinopteri; Perciformes; Cyclopteridae
Source: Ensembl
CUUUUCAGACACUUGUGUCUACUACUGACUUUACCACUACUGACUCUACUACUACUACUUUCUCUACUACUACUACUGACUCUACUACUACAGACUCUACUACUACCGACUAUACUAGUACUGACUCUACUACUACAGACUCUACUACUACAGACUCUACUACUACAGACUCUACUUCUACCGACUCUACUACUACUGACUCUACUUCUACCGACUCUACUACUACAGACUCUACUACUACUUUCUCUACUACUACUACUACUGACUCUACUUCUACCGACUCUACUACUACAGACUCUACUACUACUGACUCUACUACUACCGACUCUACUACUACCGACUCUACCAGUACCGACUCUACCAGUACUGACUCUACUACUACUACUACUGACUUUACUACUACUGACUCUACUACUGCUUUCUCUACUGCUACCGACUCUACUACUACCGACUCUACUACUACUGACUCUACUACUACCGACUCUACUACUACCGACUCUACCAGUACCGACUCUACCAGUACUGACUCUACUACUACUACUACUGACUUUACUACUACUGACUCUACUACUGCUUUCUCUACUGCUACCGACUCUACUACUACCGACUCUACUACUACCGACUCUACUACUACUGACUCUACUACUGCUUUCUCUACUGCUACCGACUCUACUACUACCGACUCUACUAGUACCGACUCUACUACUACCGACUCUACCAGUACCGACUCUACUACUACCGACUCUACUGCUACUGACUCUACUACUGACUCUACUAGUACCGACUCUACCAGUGCCGACUCUACCAGUACUGACUCUACUACUGACUUUACUACUACUACUGACUUUACUACUACUGACUCUACUACUGACUCUACUACUACUGACUCUACUACUACCGACUUUACCACUACUGACUCUACUACUACUUUCUCUACUACUACUACUGACUCUACUUCUACCGACUCUACUACUACAGACUCUACUACUACCGACUCUACUACUACCGACUCUACCAGUACCGACUCUACCAGUACUGACUCUACUACUACUACUACUGACUUUACUACUACUGACUAUACUACUGCUUUCUCUACUGCUACCGACUCUACUACUACCGACUCUACUACUACCGACUCUACCACUACCGACUCUACUACUGACUCUACUACUACUGACUCUACUGCUACUGACUCUACUACUGACUCUACUGCUACUGACUCUACUACUGACUCUACUAGUACUGACUCUACCAGUACCGACUCUACUACUGAUUCUACUACUACUGACUUUACUACUACUACUGACUCUACUACUGACUUUACUACUACUGACUCUACUACUGACUUUACUACUACUGACUCUAUUACUGACUCUACUACUACUGACUCUACUACUACUGACUCUACUAGUACCGACUCUACCAGUACUGACUCUACUACUGAUUCUACUACUACUGACUUUACUACUACUACUGACUUUACUACUACUGACUCUAUUACUGACUCUACUACUACUGACUCUAAUAGUAGUCAGUAGUAAUAGAGUCAGUAGUAUAAAACCCUACAAGCUGAAACUGAGACUUGAGCAUUUUUUCUCUCAGCCCACUGCUUUCUGUCCUUCUUCACCUGCCACACCUAGGAAACACAUUCUCUCUCUCACACACACACACACACACACACACACACACACACACACACACACCUCCUCUUUUCUGUGA